AAGACGAUAUCGGUAGAUCCGAAUGGUACUUUUAGCUUUACAAAUAGCUAUACAAUACAUAUGUAUUUUCCAUUCAAGCUGACUUUACCUUAUUUUCUGCUCUGAUCCUGUUUGGGACCGAGACAGAAAA
Regulatory RNA element from Paenibacillus sp., 130 nucleotides. It matches the Rfam family "pan motif". NCBI's taxonomy places the organism in Bacteria, Bacillati, Bacillota, Bacilli, Caryophanales, Paenibacillaceae. The record is from Rfam.